This 460-nucleotide ribosomal RNA is filed under the name uncultured bacterium. RNAcentral describes it as "partial 16S ribosomal RNA". It matches the Rfam family "Bacterial small subunit ribosomal RNA", at positions 338 to 795 of the family's 1533-position model. The record is from RNAcentral.
CCUACGGGUGGCAGCAGUGAGGAAUAUUGGUCAAUGGACGAGAGUCUGAACCAGCCAAGUAGCGUGAAGGAUGACUGCCCUAUGGGUUGUAAACUUCUUUUAUAUGGGAAUAAAACGUUCCACGUGUGGGAUUUUGUAUGUACCAUAUGAAUAAGGAUCGGCUAACUCCGUGCCAGCAGCCGCGGUAAUACGGAGGAUCCGAGCGUUAUUCGGAUUUAUUGGGUUUAAAGGGAGCGUAGGUGGAUUGUUAAGUCAGUUGUGAAAGUUUGCGGCUCAACCGUAAAAUUGCAGUUGAAACUGGCAGUCUUGAGUACAGUAGAGGUGGGCGGAAUUCGUGGUGUAGCGGUGAAAUGCUUAGAUAUCACGAAGAACUCCGAUUGCGAAGGCAGUUCACUGGACUGCAACUGACACUGAGGCUCGAAAGUGUGGGUAUCAAACAGGAUUAGAUACCCCUGUAGUC